UACAGAGGUCCCAAGCGUUGUUCGGAUUCACUGGGCGUAAAGGGUGCGCAGGUGGGUUGCAAGUUUGAUGUGAAAGCCCCGGGCUUAACCCGGGAAUGGCAUUGAAUACUGCAGAUCUGGAGGAUUGGAGGGGGACUGGAAUUCUUGGUGUAGCAGUGAAAUGCGUAGAUAUCAAGAGGAACACCAGUGGCGAAGGCGAGUCCCUGGACAAUACCUGACACUGAGGCACGAAAGCUAGGGGAGCAAACAGGAUUAGACUACCGUGGU
Molecule: ribosomal RNA, 267 nt
Filed under: uncultured bacterium
Lineage: Bacteria
Description: partial 16S ribosomal RNA
Rfam family: Bacterial small subunit ribosomal RNA
Source: RNAcentral